CAACUGAUCAAUAGUACAGAGGAGGUGAACACUUUAAAUAAGGAGAAUGAGGAAUUGAAAUACAGAAACAAAUUAUUAGAAGAGCAGCUUGAUUUAUUCCAGUCAGAGAUAAAAGAAAGAGAGAAGGUUGAGAAGCAAGAUGAAGAAAUGCAAUCACUUAGCAUACCGCAGUUAGCAUACUAUCAGGAAGAGAAGGACAGUGAAGAAACUUUUGCAGAAGACAUUAAAGAA
This is a long non-coding RNA of Amphimedon queenslandica, 231 nucleotides long. RefSeq lists it as uncharacterized. Lineage: Eukaryota; Metazoa; Porifera; Demospongiae; Haplosclerida; Niphatidae. The record is from RefSeq and is a predicted model, not a curated record. The transcript has 3 exons.